GUGGUCAUAGCUCAAUAGGUAGAGCACCAGGUUGUGAUCCUGGCGGUUGGGGGUUCAAGUCCCCUUGGCCACCCCA
This 76-nucleotide transfer RNA is filed under the name Sphingomonas sp. Its description in RNAcentral is "tRNA-His". It matches the Rfam family "tRNA". Rfam says of the family: Transfer RNA (tRNA) molecules are approximately 80 nucleotides in length. The record is from RNAcentral. RNAcentral also lists the same sequence under 7 other names. Lineage: Bacteria; Pseudomonadati; Pseudomonadota; Alphaproteobacteria; Sphingomonadales; Sphingomonadaceae.